Molecule: ribosomal RNA, 446 nt
Filed under: uncultured bacterium
Lineage: Bacteria
Description: bacterial SSU rRNA
Rfam family: Bacterial small subunit ribosomal RNA
Source: RNAcentral
GCCAGACUCCUACGGGAGGCAGCAGUGGGGAGUAUUGCACAAUGGGGGAAACCCUGAUGCAGCGACGCCGCGUGAGUGAAGAAGUCAUUCGUGAUGUAAAGCUCUAUCAGCAGGGAAGAAAAUGACGGUACCUGACCAAGAAGCCCCGGCUAACUACGUGCCAGCAGCCGCGGUAAUACGUAGGGGGCAAGCGUUAUCCGGAUUUACUGGGUGUAAAGGGAGCGUAGGCGGCGAUGCAAGUCAGAAGUGAAAGCCCGGGGCUCAACUCCGGGACUGCUUUUGAAACUGUAUGGCUAGAUUGCAGGAGGGGCAAGUGGAAUUCCUAGUGUAGCGGUGAAAUGCGUAGAUAUUAGGAGGAACACCAGUGGCGAAGGCGGCUUGCUGGACUGUAAAUGACGCUGAGGCUCGAAAGCGUGGGGAGCAAACAGGAUUAGAUACCCCGGUAC